Molecule: non-coding RNA, 30 nt
Filed under: Rattus norvegicus (Norway rat)
Lineage: Eukaryota; Metazoa; Chordata; Mammalia; Rodentia; Muridae
Source: RNAcentral
UACACCAAUUCUGAACAGUGUUGAGGUUGA